GCACUGAGUGUCGCAUGGCCCUGCCUCCGCCCCCCAGGGCUUCACAUACGUGGCGCCGUCUGUCCUGGACAGCAUCAAGGAGGGCUUCUCCUUCCAGCCCAAGCUGCGCUCACCCAGGCGCCUCAACAGUAGCCCCCGGGCCCCCGUCAGCCCCCUCAAGUUCUCCCCUUUUGAGGGGUUUCGGCCCAGCCCCAGCCUGCCGGAGCCCACGGAGCUACCUCUACCUCCACUCCUGCCACCGCCGCCGCCCUCGACCACCGCCCCUCUCCCCAUCCGUCCCCCCUCAGGGACCAAGAAGUCCAAGAGGGGCCGUGGGCGUCCAGGGCGCUAGGAAGCCGGGUGGGGGUGAGGGUAGCCCUUGAGCCCUGUCCCUGCGGCUGUGAGAGCAGCAGGACCCUGGGCCAGUUCCAGAGACCUGGGGGUGUGUCUGGGGGUGGGGUGUGAGUGCGUAUGAAAGUGUGUGUCUGCUGGGGCAGCUGUGCCCCUGAAUCAUGGGCACGGAGGGCCGCCCGCCACGCCCCGCGCUCAACUGCUCCCGUGGAAGAUUAAAGGGCUGAAUCAU
This 562-nucleotide long non-coding RNA is filed under the name Homo sapiens (human). RNAcentral's name for it is "long non-coding RNA NONHSAT159303.1". Lineage: Eukaryota; Metazoa; Chordata; Mammalia; Primates; Hominidae. The record is from RNAcentral.